UGUUGUUUUUAAUGCACCAGUGGAAGAGCAGGCAUACCAGGGUCUAUGAGAGAUUUCUGCUUGAUCUUUGAAGGGCAGAAGAAUAUUAAGUAAGGUAUACCUGCAAAGAUGUUGCUAGGACUAUCAAGCAAUGGCAGGCAAUAGGCUGGGAUGCAUCUCCGUUGCUUUAUGUGAGGAUCAGAGCUACCGUGUUCCCAGAUGGUGCACUUAAGGAAAGAUGCUUCCGGCUGGAACCUGGACAGGAGAGCAGCAGGCUAACCUGAGAGAAAAGGGCAGUGACUUUCCUGAAAUUAAACAGCAGCUUGAUGACACAAGUAGGAACAGUGUUUAAACCAUCUGUUUCAUAUUCUUGUGCCGUGAGAGAUGCCAUGCACCUUUCAGACAGUAUUUCAUCUUGGAAAGUAGCUGUUUCAACAUUGUUUUUGGCUUCUGUCUGAUUUUCUAGACCUGGAAAUUGUGCAGUAACCAAUAUGUUGUGCAGGUGAUACAUGCAAGUCAGGCUGAACAUGCAUUUGAUAAGAAUAGGCUGUCCUUCUUGGAGAUGUUGCCUUUAUACAUCAGGACUGAAUCCUAUUUGGGCUGAAAAUUUUGUUAAAACACUUCAGGUGAAAUCAAAAAAGAAAACUUAUUCCACAUAAAUUAUCUGUUGGGGUAAACUGCAUUUAUAAUUAUUUUUACACCCUCUCUAGCAUAUGUAUGUAUGUAUAGCAUAACUAUACGUAUAUAUUUUUAGAGACUAAAGAAUUCUUUGAAAUAUUUACAGAUCACUAUAGAUUUCAAAGGCUUGUAAUGUCAUGUUAAGGUAAUAUACAAGUGUGCAAGCAAAGAGAAGUUAAAAUCAGACACAUCUCAGACUGAUAGGAUAUGGUUACAAAAGUUCUGUUAUGGUAAAUUUGUAUGUGGUCAAGAGGAUAGAAUAGUAGGCUGGAAACUGGGAGGCCUGUUUUUUCCUUCUAAUCAGCUUGCUUCAUAGUUCAGAAAACUGUUUUAUGGAUUAAAGGCUCUUCUGAGCGAAACCUCCUUUGUACUGUAUAUUUGUCUGCAUAAAUACACAUUAUGUGCUCAUCA
Molecule: non-coding RNA, 1068 nt
Organism: Anas platyrhynchos (mallard)
Lineage: Eukaryota; Metazoa; Chordata; Aves; Anseriformes; Anatidae
Source: RefSeq, a predicted model, not a curated record